Long non-coding RNA from Spodoptera frugiperda (fall armyworm), 1200 nucleotides. RefSeq lists it as uncharacterized. The transcript is spliced from 3 exons. The record is from RefSeq and is a predicted model, not a curated record. NCBI's taxonomy places the organism in Eukaryota, Metazoa, Arthropoda, Insecta, Lepidoptera, Noctuidae.
AUGACUUAGUACGAAUUACUUAUAUAUCACCUUGAUGUGCUGUUAUUCAUAUCGAACUCCACAAUCAUUACUGGUAAUGAAAUACCUACAAUACCUACUCAGGUCCGUUGGUUUUCAUGUAUUCUACAACUGCGACUUUGCUGUCAAGUGGUCUAAUUCUGAUUGUAGGUUCUGGGUGUCAGUUUCAUUAAUUUAUCCUAUUCUUUUGAUUUAAUUUAGAAGAGUAAAUAUUAAGUUAGUUUAGAAGCCGGAAUCUCUUUAUGUUUAAUUUAACAUUUUUUAUAAAAAAACUUUUGUCUUUUGACUAAUCUGUUAGAUUUUUGUUAUACAUUUGUUGAUUUUUAUAUAUUUCUUUAGUUUCUUAUUACUACAACAAAGUGAUUUUUAUGGAAUGACAUAAAUCACUAACACAGGUGAGGUCUAUAGUCACUGGAUUCAAGUCAAUAUGUUGUGAUUGAGAAGCACGGGCUGACACAAACUCGCUGAAGAGACUGUUAUUCAGACUGGCCGUGAUGUUGAGGUUUAAUGUUUCUAGUUGGUUAAUUUGACUAUUGGCCUCAUGUAGCUGAUGUUCUAAAUGAGCUUUGUCAUGUAAUGUUUGUUCGUACUCACUGCUACAUUGACUGAACCCGUCCACAACAAAUUGGAGCCUAUCCCGAGCCUCAAUGGCUUCAGUGUGUUGAAUAUGUAACUGAGCCAUUUCACAUUUCAGCUUCCUAUUACUAUUUAAAAUGUCUAAGAAUUCCCUCUCAUUGUCAUCUCUUUCCUUCAGUAGUUGAUCACACAACUCCUUUGAAGCCUUCAGUUCGCUCAAAGCCAAGUUAAGAUUUGACUCCUCCUGGCGAGCAUGGGCUUUACGUGUGAGAAUCAUAUUGGAAAUGGAGACAGAGACAGUAAGAAGGAAGUUAUAAUAAUAAUUAAGAGAUGUGAAGCUAAUUAGUCAAGAACGGCUAGAAUGAUGAGUGUGUUUCCCUGUAUUUAUUCAGGUACUUCAAUCGGUGGUUCUUUGUCGAUCAGUUCUCGGAGAUCAGAAGAGUCUAAGUUAGUGGUGGCUCUUUGUCGUGCACUGGAAUAAAAUUUAAGGUUUUUUGUGAUUAUUAUUGCCAACAUUUCGGUGUGAAGUCUGAUUCGUUGGUGAAGUAAAUGGUGAAUAUAUACAUACAGCUACACCUGUAACCUCUUUCACUAUUAUUUCUUGUU